RNAcentral lists this ribosomal RNA (492 nucleotides) under uncultured bacterium. Its description in RNAcentral is "partial 16S ribosomal RNA". It matches the Rfam family "Bacterial small subunit ribosomal RNA", at positions 29 to 507 of the family's 1533-position model. The record is from RNAcentral.
AGUGAACGCUGGCGGUAGGCCUAACACAUGCAAGUCGAACGGCAGCACAGUAAGAGCUUGCUCUUACGGGUGGCGAGUGGCGGACGGGUGAGGAAUACAUCGGAAUCUACUUUUUCGUGGGGGAUAACGUAGGGAGACUUACGCUAAUACCGCAUACGACCUACGGGUGAAAGCAGGGGAUCUUCGGACCUUGCGCGAUUGAAUGAGCCGAUGUCGGAUUAGCUAGUUGGCGGGGUAAAGGCCCACCAAGGCGACGAUCCGUAGCUGGUCUGAGAGGAUGAUCAGCCACACUGGAACUGAGACACGGUCCAGACUCCUACGGGAGGCAGCAGUGGGGAGUAUUGGACAAUGGGCGCAAGCCUGAUCCAGCCAUACCGCGUGGGUGAAGAAGGCCUUCGGGUUGUAAAGCCCUUUUGUUGGGAAAGAAAAGCAGCAGGUUAAUACCCCGCUGUUCUGACGGUACCCAAAGAAUAAGCACCGGCUAACUUCGUG